This 253-nucleotide ribosomal RNA is filed under the name uncultured bacterium. Its description in RNAcentral is "partial 16S ribosomal RNA". It matches the Rfam family "Bacterial small subunit ribosomal RNA", at positions 524 to 776 of the family's 1533-position model. The record is from RNAcentral.
UACGGAGGGUGCAAGCGUUGUUCGGAAUUACUGGGCGUAAAGCGCGCGUAGGCGGUUUGCUAAGUCAGAUGUGAAAGCCCAUGGCUCAACCAUGGACGUGCAUUUGAAACUGGCGGACUUGAGUAUUGGAGGGGGUGGUGGAAUUCCCGGUGUAGAGGUGAAAUUCGUAGAUAUCGGGAGGAAUACCGGUGGCGAAGGCGACCACCUGGCCAAAUACUGACGCUGAUGUGCGAAAGCGUGGGGAGCAAACAGG